Molecule: ribosomal RNA, 446 nt
Filed under: uncultured bacterium
Lineage: Bacteria
Description: partial 16S ribosomal RNA
Rfam family: Bacterial small subunit ribosomal RNA
Source: RNAcentral
CCUACGGGCGGCUGCAGUCGAGAAUCAUUCACAAUGGGGGAAACCCUGAUGGUGCGACGCCGCGUGGGGGAAUGAAGGUCUUCGGAUGGUAAACCCCUGUCAUGGGGGAGCAAAUUAAAAAGAUAGUACCACAAGAGGAAGAGACGGCUAACUCUGUGCAAGCAGCCGCGGUAAUACAGAGGUCUCAAGCGUUGUUCGGAAUCACGGGGCGUAAAGCGUGCGUAGGCUGUUUCGUAAGUCGUGUGUGAAAGGCGCGGGCUCAACCCGCGGACGGCACAUGAUACUGCGAGACUAGAGUAAUGGAGGGGGAACCGGAAUUCUCGGUGUAGCAGUGAAAUGCGUAGAUAUCGAGAGGAACACUCGUGGCGAAGGCGGGUUCCUGGACAUUAACUGACGCUGAGGCACGAAGGCCAGGGGAGCGAAAGGGAUUAGAUACCCGUGUAGUC